Long non-coding RNA from Micropterus dolomieu (smallmouth bass), 1305 nucleotides. RefSeq lists it as uncharacterized. The record is from RefSeq and is a predicted model, not a curated record. NCBI's taxonomy places the organism in Eukaryota, Metazoa, Chordata, Actinopteri, Centrarchiformes, Centrarchidae. The transcript is spliced from 2 exons.
UUACUUUUGAUUGUAGAACACCGUAUAAAUGUGACAGAUAAAUACUCAGAAUCACAGGAAUGUUGUUUAAAUAAGGUUUUAUUUAGCUUUCCAGUAAAGGAUGUCCUCCAAUUCUGGAAUGACUCACAGUUGCUUUCUACCACUGAAUAGAGAAAAUGCUUACAGGGAGACAAUAUACAAUAUCACGUUCCAAAACAACCUAGGAGAAAGUCUGCUGCAAAACCAAUCCAGUCCAUAACACUCAAAAGUAAAGGCCCCAUAAAGCAAAGUGCCAACCAACAAUCAAAAAAAUAAGCUUGGGCACUAUAUGACUAAUGAAUUUAUAAUUAAUACCAAUACACAUACAUAGUUAGACAGCAGCAACAUGAAGCAGAGCAGAGAUUAGCAGCCAGCAGAUGCCAAGGCAUCGCCUACAGGCAGAUCUGCAGCAGACCAAUAAGGCAGCCAGCAGCAUAUUGCCAAGCACACAAACAAAGCCAAAACACCAGCUUACGGUAUUCUUCUGGCUUGAAGUCAUGUUGGAGGCCGACAGCUGAUAUGAGAAACGGAUGGAGUGGCUGAAUAGUGGCAGCAGCAGCUGGGAGUACGUCGCAAACAUGAUUAUUCCCCCACAAAGUUGUCCUGAAGCGACAUUACUGUUGGCAGGACCGUUGGCCACAUAAUGCUGCUGAGCAGGUAGCCAGCAGCAGGUGGUGGCACGCAUGGAGGGAAGAGAAACGGAGGGAUGGUGAGGACACAGGAAGAGAUGCUCACCAUUGGAUACUGUGACUAGCUGAGUGAUCAAACGGCCGUGGGACUGUGUCAUGUGAGGUGAGUGUGGCUCCAGUCAGAGGCGCUGAGUGUUCAGCAUCCACUGCACUCCCAUCACACUUAAGAGGUGGAACUCUAAAGUAGUGAAAUACCACAAUGGUGAGUAAGAACAUGUACACAGGAUGAUCUCUAAGUCAUAACAUGCUUGUUAGUAAGAUGUCAGACACGUGAAGUAUUGACCCUGACCCUUAAAAUUGUUAAUUUAUCCAAAAGCAUUGAUUAAUCACAGCUGGUGAUUAGUAACAGCUGGUGUUGAGAGCUGCUAAGGCCCAGAUAGUGCCAUUACAUCACCUUGUAUGGUAUGUAGGUUAAUUUCAAUGUAAAUUUGUGCUCUGAUAUGCAUUUACAUACUAUAUCCAGCAGUUGCAUAUUCAUCUAAUCUCAUAUUCAUCAAAUAAUUCGCUGCGAUGUCUAAUGAGGAAGGCACACACCUAUCACAUCACCUGUUCUACAGUAGGAGUACAGUACAAAUUUAAAAUAAAUGUUUUCACACAA